UACGGGGGGGGCAAGCGUUGUUCGGAAUUACUGGGCGUAAAGGGCUCGUAGGCGGCCAACUAAGUCAGACGUGAAAUCCCCAGGCUUAACCUGGGAACUGCGUCUGAUACUGGAUGGCUUGAGUUUGGGAGAGGGAUGCGGAAUUCCAGGUGUAGCGGUGAAAUGCGUAGAUAUCUGGAGGAACACCGGUGGCGAAGGCGGCAUCCUGGACCAACACUGACACUGAGGAGCGAAAGCCAGGGGAGCAAACAGG
RNAcentral lists this ribosomal RNA (253 nucleotides) under uncultured bacterium. Its description in RNAcentral is "partial 16S ribosomal RNA". It matches the Rfam family "Bacterial small subunit ribosomal RNA", at positions 524 to 776 of the family's 1533-position model. The record is from RNAcentral.